RNAcentral lists this ribosomal RNA (468 nucleotides) under uncultured bacterium. RNAcentral's name for it is "partial 16S ribosomal RNA". It matches the Rfam family "Bacterial small subunit ribosomal RNA", at positions 28 to 507 of the family's 1533-position model. The record is from RNAcentral.
GACGAACGCUGGCGGCGUGCUUAACACAUGCAGGUCGAACGGAAAGGCCCUGCUUUUGUGGGGUGCUCGAUUGGCGAACGGGUGAGUAACACGUGAGUAACCUGCCCUUGACUUUGGGAUAACUUCAGGAAACUGGGGCUAAUACCGGAUAGGAGCUCCUGCUGCAUGUUGGGGGUUGGAAAGUUUCGGCGGUUGGGGAUGGACUCGCGGCUUAUCAGCUUGUUGGUGUGGUAGUGGCUUACCAAGGCUUUGACGGGUAGCCGGCCUGAGAGGGUGACCGGCCACAUUGGGACUGAGAUACGGCCCAGACGCCUACGGGAGGCAGCAGUGGGGAAUAUUGCACAAUGGGCGGAAGCCUGAUGCAGCAACGCCGCGUGCGGGAUGACGGCCUUCGGGUUGUAAACCGCUUUCGCCUGUGACGAAGCGUGAGUGACGGUAAUGGGUAAAGAAGCACCGGCUAACUACGUG